This 94-nucleotide non-coding RNA is filed under the name human gut metagenome. RNAcentral describes it as "THF riboswitch". It matches the Rfam family "THF (Tetrahydrofolate) riboswitch aptamer". From Rfam's summary of the family: THF riboswitch presents a pseudoknot that joins P1-P2 and the loop of P3 and two THF binding. The record is from RNAcentral.
CAGAGUAGGAACAGCGCGUUAAGUGCGGUGAGACGGGAUGUGGUCACCGACGAAAUACCGGAAAGGUAUGCGAUGCUGUAUCCGCAUCCGCUGC